This 567-nucleotide ribosomal RNA is filed under the name Triticum aestivum (bread wheat). Its description in RNAcentral is "partial small subunit ribosomal RNA". The record is from RNAcentral. Lineage: Eukaryota; Viridiplantae; Streptophyta; Magnoliopsida; Poales; Poaceae.
AUGACAACCACCCCGGUCUCGCUCGCCCCAAUCAAGAUCUUUCACCAGCAGCAGCAGCACGCCCCCAAGCCCAGAGAAAAACUACCACUACUGGAGUACUGGUACUGCUACCUCAGGACUGCAUUAUUUGCUCCACGUUGCCUCUGCGUCACCCUCCUCCACGGAUCAAAUCAAAUCAAACCCCUUUGGGACGGGACGGCGGAGGGAGGGAGGGAGGGAAGGAGGGGGAGAACCUAUACCACAUCAAGUCAGCUGCUUUUCCUUUUCCUGUGGGGGAGGAGGACCCCUUUUUACCCGUCUACUAGAGGGGAAAGAACUGCUCAUGCCACCCCUAGGUGUACUGUGGUACUGUGUGCAAUGGAAAGGGAGAUCAAGAAUCUUACUGGUGCCUCCUUUUUGCUCAAGAAUCUUUGUCUCCUUGGCCUUGGUGUAUCCCUCCCUCUGCCUGGCAGGCACUUGGGAGAGAGGAUGAGGGAGGGCCUCAGAAAAUCAGCAGAGGAGGGCAACCAGAUAAGGAAGACAAGACUCACAAUAACCCAGUGCACACCACACACACAAAUGAGCUAG